Molecule: ribosomal RNA, 492 nt
Filed under: uncultured bacterium
Lineage: Bacteria
Description: partial 16S ribosomal RNA
Rfam family: Bacterial small subunit ribosomal RNA
Source: RNAcentral
AGUGAACGCUGGCGGUAGGCCUAACACAUGCAAGUCGAACGGCAGCACAGUAAGAGCUUGCUCUUACGGGUGGCGAGUGGCGGACGGGUGAGGAAUACAUCGGAAUCUACUUUUUCGUGGGGGAUAACGUAGGGAAACUUACGCUAAUACCGCAUACGACCUACGGGUGAAAGCAGGGGAUCUUCGGACCUUGCGCGAUUGAAUGAGCCGAUGUCGGAUUAGCUAGUUGGCGGGGUAAAGGCCCACCAAGGCGACUAUCCGUAGCUGGUCUGAGAGGAUGAUCAGCCACACUGGAACUGAGACACGGUCCAGACUCCUACGGGAGGCAGCAGUGGGGAAUAUUGGACAAUGGGCGCAAGCCUGAUCCAGCCAUACCGCGUGGGUGAAGAAGGCCUUCGGGUUGUAAAGCCCUUUUGUUGGGAAAGAAAAGCAGCAGGUUAAUACCACGCUGUUCUGACGGUACCCAAAGAAUAAGCACCGGCUAACUUCGUG